GAUGUGUUUAAUAACAGUAUGGUUUUGAAAUGAAUAGUCAUAAUCCAAUAGGAAAAAUAAUAGGUAACCACAAUAACAAAAACGUCAGUCAAGCCUUUCAAAUGACAUUGCAAUGUAAAAACACAAUUUUAGCAUGAUAAUCUUAUAAGCAUACCAUGAACUAGUAAGGAACGUGGUGAACAACAUUUUCUCGUAAAUAUUUUUAAUCAAACAAUCUCAAAGUUUUGACUUCUGCUGGUAACCUCCUGAGUAGGACUGGCACACAAAGCAUGCAAAAAAAAAAUCAUCUCCAAUAUCACACAUUUUGAAUUCAUAUACAAUCUAUUUUCCCCUUUGUCAAUAACAACAAAUUGUAUUUAUUUAUUUUUUUAAACAAAGGCUUCAUUUGUGGAGUCUGAGAUGAUUUGAAAGAAUAACACUGCACUGGUGUGCCACAGCCAUUUACUGAGACAGCAGUACACUUCGAACUUAGAGAUUUCAAUAAUAUACAGAUAAACACAGUAACUACUUCUCUUUGUUCGUUGAGUUUCUCUCACUAGUUUUUCCAAUGGAAAAUAACUGCAGCUUGUUACAGCCAUGGCCACUAAUUAAAGAACAAGUUGCUCCUUUAUUAUUUCACAGCUAAUUUAGAAAGAUGAUGGUAGCAAGCCGAGAACUUUACUUUUAUUCAAUAAUCUUUAGUCUGACUCAAAUCAUCCAAAUGUGAUCACAAAAGUCAGAAUAUUAAAGAAAAGUAGUACCUUGUGUGAUCCCCAAAUCAUGAACUCAAACAAGACACCUUUCAUUGAAGGACAGAGUUUCCAAAACUUUACAGUAAUUAACUCUUUACAUACAGUGGCUGACUAUUUAUCUCACAAAUGUUCUUCUCCCUUUAUGUUGAGUCAACAAGCCUUUCUUGGAAUCUACACAUUUUGAAGUUGGCACAGAGUUGGGAUUUGAACAGUUUUUCACUCCAAAUGUGUAGAUCUAGAAUUGAGGUAGA
Sinocyclocheilus grahami is the source of this 982-nucleotide long non-coding RNA. RefSeq lists it as uncharacterized. The record is from RefSeq and is a predicted model, not a curated record. The transcript has 2 exons. NCBI's taxonomy places the organism in Eukaryota, Metazoa, Chordata, Actinopteri, Cypriniformes, Cyprinidae.